AUUGAACGCUGGCGGAAUGCUUUACACAUGCAAGUCGAACGGUAGAGGGGGCAACCCCCUUGAGAGUGGCGAACGGGUGAGUAAUAUAUCGGAACGUGCCCAGUCGUGGGGAUAACGUAGCGAAAGUUACGCUAAUACCGCAUACGAUCUAAGGAUGAAAGCGGGGGAUCGCAAGACCUCGCGCGAUUGGAGCGGCCGAUAUCAGAUUAGGUAGUUGGUGAGGUAAAGGCUCACCAAGCCAACGAUCUGUAGCUGGUCUGAGAGGAUGAUCAGUCACACUGGAACUGAGACACGGUCCAGACUCCUACGGGAGGCAGCAGUGGGGAAUAUUGGACAAUGGGCGGAAAGCCUGAUCCAGCCAUGCCGCGUGUGUGAAGAAGGUCUUCGGAUUGUAAAGCACUUUAAGUUGGGAGGAAGGGUAGUAACCUAAUACGUUGCUACUUUGACGUUACCGUACAGAAUAAGCACCGGCUAACUUCGUG
This 482-nucleotide ribosomal RNA is filed under the name uncultured bacterium. RNAcentral's name for it is "bacterial SSU rRNA". It matches the Rfam family "Bacterial small subunit ribosomal RNA", at positions 30 to 507 of the family's 1533-position model. The record is from RNAcentral.